Long non-coding RNA from Ostrinia nubilalis (European corn borer), 1162 nucleotides. RefSeq lists it as uncharacterized. The record is from RefSeq and is a predicted model, not a curated record. Lineage: Eukaryota; Metazoa; Arthropoda; Insecta; Lepidoptera; Crambidae. The transcript is spliced from 3 exons.
ACGCCAUAGAGUUUGACAGCUCUAUAGAGAGUGAAUUUUUUUGACAGUUCCGAGAGGAAGUGACUUUUUUUAUAGUUGUCCUUUAUGCGACAAUGGCAAUGGUCUUUUGCGUGUCUGGAAUCAAGUUAGUAAACAUUUUCGAAUUACAACUUCAACUUUUAUUUAUAAAUUAUUUUAUUGAAUCUAUUUGCAUUCUAUAAAUGAAAUGUUUAUUUAAAAGUAUAUUAAUUCAAAGUCGUAAUUUUCACUUUAAUCAAUUUAGUUCCGUCUCAAGUCUGCAACUGUGACAUUAUUAAAAAAAAAAAACGUCAAAAAUUUUCAUCGAAAAAACGUGUUUUUCUUUAAACAAAUUUUAUCUAAAAUCAAUAAUUUCUCAAUCAAUAUUAAUAAGAACUACAUGUGCAUGGAUUGCCAGUUGGAUUGAUGUUUGUUUUAAGAAGAAAUUUCUCUCAAGUAAGAUAUCCACUCGAGAAAGGUUAUUGCAGCUUGCAGCAACAUCAUGUUUUAUCAAGUAUUGAACCACACAAAGGAUUAAAUCUUCAUUACAAUAUCAUUCAUAACUCCAUUUAAAUCAAUGGAAACUAAAUAUGGAUCGUUUCAUGGAGUAACAACAUACUUUGGAGUUUGGACCCAAAAUACAAUACACGUUAAUAUCAAACUUAUAAGGUGUUAAGCUGCAAUUACAAUAAAAGUGCUUGCUAUGGAAUCACCGGUGCUGAUCAUUAUUGUCAACUGUUACUUAAAAUCCAGAUGAACCAACCUUUACUUCCUAUUCAAAUAAGUUUAGAAGAAACCUAUAUAAGUAAUAAAACCAGACCAAGAAUGCUUGAUUACAAACGAUGAACUCAUAUCAUUUGCAAGUUAUGCCAUGACAUAAAUGCAUUAAAUUAGGAAGAUUUGUAUUAGAUGAAUAUUAACUUCUGUUGAUAAGAACAUUUGAUUGGUGGAAUCCAGAUUCUGUGAAUGUACAUGUAAUUGAUUGACAAGUACACAUUUGACAAGGUAAAUUAAUUUUAUUUAACAAAGUAGUGCAAAUCUAGAAACAAAACAGACAGUAAGAUAGGUAUGGUAGAUAAGACAGAUCACUUGUUCAUCUGCUGUACUCUUUAUAAUAUUAGUGUAGAAUGUAGAUGAUGUAGGAGAUUACAGUCUUACGGUGACA